RNAcentral lists this long non-coding RNA (202 nucleotides) under Elaeis guineensis (African oil palm). RNAcentral's name for it is "long non-coding RNA (EGUI_LNC055616)". The record is from RNAcentral. Lineage: Eukaryota; Viridiplantae; Streptophyta; Magnoliopsida; Arecales; Arecaceae.
ACCAAGAUCAGGCCUGCACCUGCGCCUGCCAUGUUGGAAGAUCCAUCCACAUAGAGGGUCCAAAAGCAAUCGGAGGGAUUGGCCUCUUCGUUGGGGGAGUUCGGGUGAGACUUUAGGUCGUCAACUUCGCCUUGCUCAGGCUCGGCCUCCUCUGAGAUGGUGCACUCUACUACGAAAUCUGCCAAUAUUUGGGCCUUUAUUG